Molecule: ribosomal RNA, 458 nt
Filed under: uncultured bacterium
Lineage: Bacteria
Description: partial 16S ribosomal RNA
Rfam family: Bacterial small subunit ribosomal RNA
Source: RNAcentral
CCUACGGGAGGCAGCAGUGAGGAAUAUUGGUCAAUGGGCGAGAGCCUGAACCAGCCAAGUCGCGUGAGGGAGUACUGCCCUAUGGGUUGUAAACCUCUUUUGUCGGGGAGCAAAAGCCGGACGUGUCCGGCUGUGAGAGUACCCGAAGAAAAAGCAUCGGCUAACUCCGUGCCAGCAGCCGCGGUAAUACGGAGGAUGCGAGCGUUAUCCGGAUUUAUUGGGGUUAAAGGGUGCGCAGGCGGAUUUUUAAGUCAGCGGUCAAAUCGUGGGGCUCAACCCCAUCCAGCCGUUGAAACUGGGGAUCUAGAGUGUGCGAGAGGUAUGCGGAAUGCGGGGUGUAGCGGUGAAAUGCAUAGAUAUCACGCAGAACCCCGAUUGCGAAGGCAGCAUACCGGUGCACAACUGACGCUCAGGCACGAAAGCGUGGGUAUCGAACAGGAUUAGAUACCCUUGUAGUC